RNAcentral lists this ribosomal RNA (1843 nucleotides) under Escherichia coli. RNAcentral's name for it is "partial 23S ribosomal RNA". It matches the Rfam family "Bacterial large subunit ribosomal RNA", at positions 1116 to 2925 of the family's 2925-position model. The record is from RNAcentral. Lineage: Bacteria; Pseudomonadati; Pseudomonadota; Gammaproteobacteria; Enterobacterales; Enterobacteriaceae.
CCAUCAUUUAAAGAAAGCGUAAUAGCUCACUGGUCGAGUCGGCCUGCGCGGAAGAUGUAACGGGGCUAAACCAUGCACCGAAGCUGCGGCAGCGACACUAUGUGUUGUUGGGUAGGGGAGCGUUCUGUAAGCCUGUGAAGGUGGCCUGUGAGGGUUGCUGGAGGUAUCAGAAGUGCGAAUGCUGACAUAAGUAACGAUAAAGCGGGUGAAAAGCCCGCUCGCCGGAAGACCAAGGGUUCCUGUCCAACGUUAAUCGGGGCAGGGUGAGUCGACCCCUAAGGCGAGGCCGAAAGGCGUAGUCGAUGGGAAACAGGUUAAUAUUCCUGUACUUGGUGUUACUGCGAAGGGGGGACGGAGAAGGCUAUGUUGGCCGGGCGACGGUUGUCCCGGUUUAAGCGUGUAGGCUGGUUUUCCAGGCAAAUCCGGAAAACCAAGGCUGAGGCGUGAUGACGAGGCACUACGGUGCUGAAGCGACAAAUGCCCUGCUUCCAGGAAAAGCCUCUAAGCAUCAGGUAACAUCAAAUCGUACCCCAAACCGACACAGGUGGUCAGGUAGAGAAUACCAAGGCGCUUGAGAGAACUCGGGUGAAGGAACUAGGCAAAAUGGUGCCGUAACUUCGGGAGAAGGCACGCUGAUAUGUAGGUGAAGCGACUUGCUCGUGGAGCUGAAAUCAGUCGAAGAUACCAGCUGGCUGCAACUGUUUAUUAAAAACACAGCACUGUGCAAACACGAAAGUGGACGUAUACGGUGUGACGCCUGCCCGGUGCCGGAAGGUUAAUUGAUGGGGUUAGCGGUAACGCGAAGCUCUUGAUCGAAGCCCCGGUAAACGGCGGCCGUAACUAUAACGGUCCUAAGGUAGCGAAAUUCCUUGUCGGGUAAGUUCCGACCUGCACGAAUGGCGUAAUGAUGGCCAGGCUGUCUCCACCCGAGACUCAGUGAAAUUGAACUCGCUGUGAAGAUGCAGUGUACCCGCGGCAAGACGGAAAGACCCCGUGAACCUUUACUAUAGCUUGACACUGAACAUUGAGCCUUGAUGUGUAGGAUAGGUGGGAGGCUUUGAAGUGUGGACGCCAGUCUGCAUGGAGCCGACCUUGAAAUACCACCCUUUAAUGUUUGAUGUUCUAACGUUGGCCCCUAAUCGGGGUUGCGGACAGUGUCUGGUGGGUAGUUUGACUGGGGCGGUCUCCUCCUAAAGAGUAACGGAGGAGCACGAAGGUUGGCUAAUCCUGGUCGGACAUCAGGAGGUUAGUGCAAUGGCAUAAGCCAGCUUGACUGCGAGCGUGACGGCGCGAGCAGGUGCGAAAGCAGGUCAUAGUGAUCCGGUGGUUCUGAAUGGAAGGGCCAUCGCUCAACGGAUAAAAGGUACUCCGGGGAUAACAGGCUGAUACCGCCCAAGAGUUCAUAUCGACGGCGGUGUUUGGCACCUCGAUGUCGGCUCAUCACAUCCUGGGGCUGAAGUAGGUCCCAAGGGUAUGGCUGUUCGCCAUUUAAAGUGGUACGCGAGCUGGGUUUAGAACGUCGUGAGACAGUUCGGUCCCUAUCUGCCGUGGGCGCUGGAGAACUGAGGGGGGCUGCUCCUAGUACGAGAGGACCGGAGUGGACGCAUCACUGGUGUUCGGGUUGUCAUGCCAAUGGCACUGCCCGGUAGCUAAAUGCGGAAGAGAUAAGUGCUGAAAGCAUCUAAGCACGAAACUUGCCCCGAGAUGAGUUCUCCCUGAGACUUAGAGUCUCCUGAAGGAACGUUGAAGACGACGACGUUGAUAGGCCGGGUGUGUAAGCGCAGCGAUGCGUUGAGCUAACCGGUACUAAUGAACCGUGAGGCUUAACCUUACAACGCCGAAG